RNAcentral lists this transfer RNA (71 nucleotides) under Cordylochernes scorpioides. RNAcentral's name for it is "tRNA-Gly". Lineage: Eukaryota; Metazoa; Arthropoda; Arachnida; Pseudoscorpiones; Chernetidae. The record is from RNAcentral.
UGCAUCGGCCGGGAAUCGAACCCGCGCCGCCCGCUUGGCAGGCGAGCAUUCUACCACUGAACCACCGAUGG